Non-coding RNA from Immersiella caudata, 105 nucleotides. NCBI's taxonomy places the organism in Eukaryota, Fungi, Ascomycota, Sordariomycetes, Sordariales, Lasiosphaeriaceae. The record is from the annotation of a GenBank genome assembly.
GCCCGGCUAGCUCAAUCGGUAGAGCGUGAGACUCUUAUGAAGAUACUUCAUAGAGAAUCUCAAGAGAUCAUCUCAAGGCUGGGGGUUCGACCCCCACGUCGGGCU